CUUUAUAAUUAUUGUAUUCAAUAUAAUUAUUGACUAUAGAAUGAAAGAACAUUCUAUAGAAUGAGGUGACCUAGCAGUCAAGGGCAGAAUAAGAAAAAGAACCCAGGGUUUCUGGCCCCUCUCCUCCACCCCCACCAGCUUCUGGAUUUCUGCUUGGAAUCAUGCCCCCUCUUUCAAUUAUAUUUUGGCUUAUUAUGUUAAGAGUAAAUGUCACUAUUCCUCAGGCCAAGCAUGUGUGAAGGAAGAAGGAGGUCAAUUCUUUUCUCUUUUCAGAUUUGUGUGCAGCCAAGAUGGGGCCUACCCAAGCAAGCUGAGUUGGGAGGUCUUACAUUCGGGUCAAGCAGAGAUGACAUUCACUGUUGUAUGUGACCCCAUCAGUGCCACAGACGAGAGGGAAGGCCACAAUAUCAAGCAUCUGCCUUACCAUUCUUGAGAAAAUGCGCUUUCUUGCUGACACUGGAACCUCUGAAAAACAAAUCAGUAAGAAUAAGUGUGUACUCCUACUUCA
Non-coding RNA from Ictidomys tridecemlineatus (thirteen-lined ground squirrel), 508 nucleotides. The record is from RefSeq and is a predicted model, not a curated record. NCBI's taxonomy places the organism in Eukaryota, Metazoa, Chordata, Mammalia, Rodentia, Sciuridae.